AGAUUCUCGAGCUGGAGGAGGCCAUCGCGUGGAUGAAGGUCAUCCAUGUCACCGGGACCAAAGGGAAGGUGAAUCACGAGAUAACAUUUGGUGCCAAGGAUUCGAGAAGGUGAACUAAUACCAAGAACCAUGUCGCCGGAUGAUUCAGGAAGAGAUGGUCCUGAUAGUCGAGAUAAACGGUGCAUUGGGUGAACUUGUUACUAUAGAGAUUUCCGUAUUCAGUCUAUCCCAUUACUCAUUUGCUUCAUAAGUUCCUACCAUAUUGUUUAUGUCAAUUUAUUCUACUCAUAUUCAUAAUUCACGCGCCGUU
Long non-coding RNA from Triticum aestivum (bread wheat), 310 nucleotides. RefSeq lists it as uncharacterized. Lineage: Eukaryota; Viridiplantae; Streptophyta; Magnoliopsida; Poales; Poaceae. The record is from RefSeq and is a predicted model, not a curated record. The transcript has 3 exons.